CGCGGAGCCCCCGCCGCCUGCCGGGGCCGCCAUCUUCCGCUCACGUGACCCGCCGCCGCCAGCUCGACUUCAAACAACUUUAUCGGCAACAGCCGCCUAUCUCCCACCCUCAUCUUCCUGAGCUCCCACCUACCUGCGUGACCCAGCAGAUAUUGCUGGGAAAUGACCACUGAUACGGCCCCGCAAGGACACAACCCUUUCCUGUAUUGCGGCAGAUGGUGCAGCCACCAAGUUGCAAGUGCUACCAUGAUGCCAACCUGACUUCCCUGGGCAGACGACCUCACCAAUGUUUCUGUAACCCCAGCUCCCCAGAGCCCUGCCCCAUGAAGGAAAAGAUAGACACAAGCUGGGGGUAUGGAUCGGCCUGCCAAUGUCCAUGUCCAGUGGAGAAACAAUUACAGAAACCAGACCUUCUACCUUCUGUAUUCCAUAAUGAUCCUUGGUCUAGAAUCCCAGAGGGAUAAAGAAUAGGAAACCUUUCAAGGAAGGGGAUGGAAUAUGGAACUCUGGUAGUAGAAACUGUGUGGAAUUAUACCCCUCUUAUCCUAUGGUCUUGUUGAUAUUUCUUAUUUUAUGAAUAAAUUUUUUUUAAAAAAGAACAAAGGCAAGGCAUAGCAUAUGCCCUUCCCAGUGA
Erinaceus europaeus (western European hedgehog) is the source of this 634-nucleotide long non-coding RNA. RefSeq lists it as uncharacterized. The record is from RefSeq and is a predicted model, not a curated record. The transcript is spliced from 3 exons. NCBI's taxonomy places the organism in Eukaryota, Metazoa, Chordata, Mammalia, Eulipotyphla, Erinaceidae.